RNAcentral lists this non-coding RNA (222 nucleotides) under Ruminiclostridium sp. Lineage: Bacteria; Bacillati; Bacillota; Clostridia; Eubacteriales; Oscillospiraceae. The record is from RNAcentral.
UGACCGUUGGGACUCCGAGGUGUCCAUAGUAACGCUAUGGCCGAACAUAGGAACAGGGUGAAAAUCCCUGGCGAACCCGUCGCCGUGAUGACGGAGCCCGCGCCCCGGCCGUCAGGGCCAUGAACCUGAUGGCUGAGAUGUCACUGGUAUUAGCUUACCGGGAAGGCUGGGCGCGGGCGGAGAUGUCUGAGCCGGAAGACUUGCCCGGAGGGCCGCAGGGCA